Molecule: long non-coding RNA, 481 nt
Filed under: Canis lupus familiaris (dog)
Lineage: Eukaryota; Metazoa; Chordata; Mammalia; Carnivora; Canidae
Description: lncRNA (ENSCAFG00030016163.1)
Source: RNAcentral
GUUUUCCUCCUCCCUACCUCCUUACCACUACAUAAUCAGCCACCUCUUACUUCCCUCUGCCUACUUCUCCCAGCAGCGGAGCUGGAGUAACCCAAAAUAAUCAAGAGGACCUUGGUGGAGAAAAAGGAGAACAACAGGAUGAUCUUGAACAUCUCUCUUCAAUCUUGGGACUCAGAUUAAUGCCUCCUAUUCCUACACACCUUGGAUGACUGCCACUCACCAGCUGUAGAGAGAGUGCACACAUGUGUGUGCAUUGAGGCGGCUGGGUAGAGGGAGAAAGAGAGAAUCUUAAGCAGGUUCCACGCCCAGCACGGAGCCCAACCCAGGGCUCCAUCUCACAACCCUGAGAUCAUGAUCCGAGUGGAAAUCAAGAGUCAGAUGCUCAACUGACUGAGCUACCCAGGGGCCCCAUAACAAUAGAUCUUUUAUACCUUUUUAGACUUCUUUUAAGUUCUAGUAAGUGAUUAAUUUUUGCAAACAU